UACGUAGGGGGCUAGCGUUGUCCGGAAUCAUUGGGCGUAAAGCGCGUGUAGGCGGCUCGGUAAGUCCGCUCUGAAAGUCCAGGGCUCAACCCUGGGAUGCGGGUGGAUACUGCCGGGCUCGAGUCCGGAAGAGGCGAGUGGAAUUCCCGGUGUAGCGGUGAAAUGCGCAGAUAUCGGGAGGAACACCAAUGGCGAAGGCAGCUCGCUGGGACGUGACUGACGCUGAGACGCGAAAACGUGGGGAGCAAACAGG
Molecule: ribosomal RNA, 253 nt
Filed under: uncultured bacterium
Lineage: Bacteria
Description: partial 16S ribosomal RNA
Rfam family: Bacterial small subunit ribosomal RNA
Source: RNAcentral